GACGAACGCUGGCGGCGUGCUUAACACAUGCAAGUCGAACGGAAAGGCCCUGAUUUUGCUGGGUGCUCGAGUGCCGCACGGGUGAGUAACACGUGAGUAACCUGCCCUUAACUGUGGGAUAACAUCAGGGAACUGGGGCUAAUAUCCGAUAGGAGCUCCUGCUCCAUGGGGGGGGUUGGUAAGUUUCGGCGGUUCGGGAUGGACUCGCGGCUUAUCCGCUUGUUUGUCGAGUAGUGGCUUACCAAGGCUGUGACGGGUAGCCGGCCUGGGAGGUGUACCGGGCACAUGGGGACUGAGGGAGGGCCCAGAAGCCUACGGGAGGCAGUAGUGGAAAGUAUGACGGAACGGGCGCGAGCGUGAGGUGAAGACGCUCGGAGCGGGAUGACGGCCUUCUAGGGAUAAACAGAUGUGGAAGGAGACGAAGCGGGAUUGACGGUAAUGGAUAAAGAAGCACCGGCUAACUACGUG
Molecule: ribosomal RNA, 468 nt
Filed under: uncultured bacterium
Lineage: Bacteria
Description: partial 16S ribosomal RNA
Rfam family: Bacterial small subunit ribosomal RNA
Source: RNAcentral